Non-coding RNA from Pelobates cultripes (western spadefoot toad), 238 nucleotides. The record is from the annotation of a GenBank genome assembly. NCBI's taxonomy places the organism in Eukaryota, Metazoa, Chordata, Amphibia, Anura, Pelobatidae.
GGAACAAUCACCUGAAGUUACAUGUAAAGAUAAUCUUACAGUGGUUGGGCCUAUAGGGGGGUGGAUAGUGAUACAAUGUAAUAUUUCAAUGCCUGAAACUAACCUUCCCUCUGAAUUUGCAGUUUGGAAAUAUCCAGGAGGAAGUGAUUUACAUAAGAGUACAAGUAUAUUUUGGGCCAAUACCACAAAUGAAGUGAGGAUAAAGAUGCUGCUGGAAAGAAAUUUUACAUUUUCCCAG